AGGAAUAUUGCGCAAUGGGGGAAACCCUGACGCAGCAACGCCGCGUGGAGGAUGAAGGUCUUCGGAUUGUAAACUCCUUUUCUUGGGGAAGAGAACGGACGGUACCUGAGGAAUAAGUCACGGCUAACUACGUGCCAGCAGCCGCGGUAAUACGUAGGUGGCAAGCGUUAUCCGGAAUUACUGGGCGUAAAGCGCACGCAGGCGGCCUUUUAAGUUUGACGUGAAAGCUCCUGGCUUAACCGGGGGAGGUCGUUGAAGACUGGAAGGCUUGAGACGAUGAGAGGGGUGCAGAAUUCCCGGUGUAGUGGUGGAAUGCGUAGAUAUCGGGAGGAAUACCAGUGGCGAAGGCGGCACCCUGGCAUCGGUCUGACGCUCAUGUGCGAAGGCGUGGGGAGCGA
RNAcentral lists this ribosomal RNA (398 nucleotides) under uncultured bacterium. RNAcentral's name for it is "bacterial SSU rRNA". It matches the Rfam family "Bacterial small subunit ribosomal RNA", at positions 357 to 771 of the family's 1533-position model. The record is from RNAcentral.